RNAcentral lists this ribosomal RNA (328 nucleotides) under uncultured Streptococcus sp. RNAcentral describes it as "bacterial SSU rRNA". It matches the Rfam family "Bacterial small subunit ribosomal RNA", at positions 1051 to 1382 of the family's 1533-position model. The record is from RNAcentral. Lineage: Bacteria; Bacillati; Bacillota; Bacilli; Lactobacillales; Streptococcaceae.
GUCGUCAGCUCGUGUCGUGAGAUGUUGGGUUAAGUCCCGCAACGAGCGCAACCCCUAUUGUUAGUUGCCAUCAUUCAGUUGGGCACUCUAGCGAGACUGCCGGUAAUAAACCGGGGGAAGUGGGAUGACGUCAAAUCAUCAUGCCCCUUAUGACCUGGGCUACACACGUGCUACAAUGGUUGGUACAACGAGUUGCGAGUCGGUGACGGCGAGCUAAUCUCUUAAAGCCAAUCUCAGUUCGGAUUGUAGGCUGCAACUCGCCUACAUGAAGUCGGAAUCGCUAGUAAUCGCGGAUCAGCACGCCGCGGUGAAUACGUUCCCGGGCCUU